Molecule: ribosomal RNA, 253 nt
Filed under: uncultured prokaryote
Description: partial 16S ribosomal RNA
Rfam family: Bacterial small subunit ribosomal RNA
Source: RNAcentral
ACGGGGGGAGCAAACGUUGUUCGGAAUCACUGGGCGUAAAGGGCGUGUAGGCGGCCGAAUAAGUGGGAUGUUAAAUCCCCUGGCUCAACCAGGGAACUGCAUCUCAUACUGUUUGGCUCGAGCACAUCAGAGGAGACUGGAAUUCCCGGUGUAGCGGUGAAAUGCGUAGAUAUCGGGAGGAAUACCGAUGGCGAAGGCAGGUCUCUGGGCCGACACUGACGCUCAUGCACGAAAGCGUGGGGAGCAAACAGGA